GAUUUUGUUACCGCUGUCUUCAUAUAUAUGUUAGUUAAACGGUGAAGAAAGAAAAGAAGGAAAGAGAGAGAAAGAAACCGACGGUCACAGAGAAGAGGGUGGCGACGAACAAAGAAAACGACGGUUGAAGAAAGAAAAGACGACAGAAGAAUAAGAGAACAACGGUGAAGAAAGACGAAGAAAGACGGUCGACAUUGCAGAGAAGAAGAAAACGAUGGUGAUGAAGGUAAGGACGACGGAAGAAGGAGAAGAAGGUGGCGACGACAGCGACGGUCAUAGGGAAGAAAGCUAAAUCGACACAGAAAAGAAGUGGAACGAGGCAAAGGCGGUGAUGGAGUCCACUGUCCCUGUUGGAUCCGCAGAGCUGCCUCCUCUGCAGGAUGGUGGCGCCGCCGUUUCUUCGCUGGUGAGUGCUGCGAAUUAAGGAUGAAUGACUUGCUACAUUUAAAGAAGAGAAUGGUGAAGGAGCAGCUAGUAGCAAGUUGAUGACACCGGUGAAGAGAACGUGAUAGCAGGUAACUAGGAGCUAAAAUCAUGUUUAGGAAAUUCACUGAAUUUUGAUGUCAGUGAAUAUGGUUGUGAAUGAACUAGACAAGACCUUGCACCACCAAAUAAGAAGCCACUUUCUGAAGGAAAAAGUGAGGCUCACAAAGUGGUACGCCCCAUGCUCUCGAAAGGAAAGAUCCAAGGUUGCAUUUGCAAAAAGGGCAGAUUUGAGGAUGGCUAAUAUCUUGCAUAAGAUGUCAUCAUUGGUGGGUGGAAUGCUCUUCGUAGGUGACGAUUUAUACAUUCAUACUGCAUGGCAUCUUGCAACCGUAAUUGGUGUCAGUAACUGCAACAUGCUCCUUGAGCAGUGCUUUCGUAGCAAUGCUAAGGAAAUUGACUUCAUUAAGGUUUAGCUGGUGACCAUCUGCAAAUAAAAGACAAGGUAAUGGAUGUUGAGUUAUCAUAGAAAAGUGAAUCUCAGCUACCAUGUGCUUCAGUUUCAGCCAAACAUAGUGGAAAAGAAAAUAAUGUGGAUAUGAUGUCUCCUUCACAUCCAAUGUAAUCGGAUCAAUUUCUGGACACACCAAAGACAACGACUAUGGCCUUGCUGGUGAGAAAUUGUUUUUUAUAGUUUUCUUGGUAGUUUUGUCAAUAAUCCUAUAG
This is a non-coding RNA of Arachis ipaensis, 1149 nucleotides long. The record is from RefSeq and is a predicted model, not a curated record. NCBI's taxonomy places the organism in Eukaryota, Viridiplantae, Streptophyta, Magnoliopsida, Fabales, Fabaceae.